Long non-coding RNA from Carassius auratus (goldfish), 1038 nucleotides. RefSeq lists it as uncharacterized. Lineage: Eukaryota; Metazoa; Chordata; Actinopteri; Cypriniformes; Cyprinidae. The transcript has 4 exons. The record is from RefSeq and is a predicted model, not a curated record.
AUAAAAGACUUUAUGUGGAAUUAUUGAACAGAAUAUCAGAACUGCCUUGGGAAUCCAAAGCAAAGUAUUUACCGCUUACUGCAAUUCUGCCAUAUGCAGGAACAGACAAGGUUUUGGAACUGUAUCCAGCUCUUCCUUCUCACAUCCUAAAGUGCCUCUCCACCAAUCAUCUUUCCCCAUACGCCUCAGAAGUCUACAAAUCCCUGCUUCAGGAACAGAAACACGAGCUUAUUAAAAAUGCAUCCCAAGAAGCUCCACCCACUGAACAAGACUCGGCCAAUCAAUGGGCUCGACGGUGGCAACCAGUCGUUCUGGAGGCUUUGACUUCAGAAUUAACUCUUAUUCAAUAUAACGCCUCCAGCCAUCUUCUGCCCUCAACACUACGAAUAUUUCCAGGUGCUGUUAACACUCUGUUGUCAGCUCUGGACCCCUGCGGUUUCCCGACACCUUCACGCAUGGGCCUGUGUCAUGAGAGCCCAGCGGGCCACAAGUGGACGUUCCCCUUGGAGCGUGGACAGCCCCCAUGCUCUUAAGACUCUCCAUAUUGCCCUCUCCUCUUUGGAUGACAGCAUCCGGCUUGCAGCUCUGAACCUCAUCUGCUGCAGUCCAAAGACCAAAGAAGCCCCAUCACAAGUGGAGUAUUGCGCUCUGAGAGACUUCCUCCCGCCUCAAUCUCAACAGCGACUCGUCACCUUUCCGCCAGCACCUUCAGGCAGCGCUGAGAAAGUUCUUGGUGAGAAUAAGAGACAGUUGCAUGGCAAGCAUCAAAGGCCAUAAUGGUAAAAAAGGGCUCACGGAGAAAGAGGAGGCGGAGCUUAAACAAGGAGUCGAGUUUGUUGACUGGCUCUUCCAGCUGUCAUUGGUCUAUUUGACUCCUGACAGCAGUUACCAGAGGAAGAAGACUGUUCUGCUCCUGCUGUCUGCAGUGCUGGAAACAUGUACAGACACCUGGAGUCCUGACAGAAAGAAGGGACAACCGCCUGCCAAUAUGUCUACUCUUAUAAACUGGGCUAAAGAGAGAGGAAAGUGGGAUUUCUU